RNAcentral lists this transfer RNA (76 nucleotides) under Zetaproteobacteria bacterium. Its description in RNAcentral is "tRNA-Thr". It matches the Rfam family "tRNA". Rfam says of the family: Transfer RNA (tRNA) molecules are approximately 80 nucleotides in length. Their secondary structure includes four short double-helical elements and three loops (D, anti-codon, and T loops). Further hydrogen bonds mediate the characteristic L-shaped molecular structure. tRNAs have two regions of fundamental functional importance: the anti-codon, which is responsible for specific mRNA codon recognition, and the 3' end, to which the tRNAs corresponding amino acid is attached (by aminoacyl-tRNA synthetases). tRNAs cope with the degeneracy of the genetic code in two manners: having more than one tRNA (with a specific anti-codon) for a particular amino acid; and 'wobble' base-pairing, i.e. permitting non-standard base-pairing at the 3rd anti-codon position. Lineage: Bacteria; Pseudomonadati; Pseudomonadota; Candidatius Mariprofundia. RNAcentral also lists the same sequence under 2 other names. The record is from RNAcentral.
GCCGAUGUAGCUCAGCUGGUAGAGCAGCUCACUCGUAAUGAGCAGGUCAGCGGUUCGAGUCCGCUCAUCGGCUCCA